GGGGAUGCUUGGUUUCGACUGGGGUGGAAAGCUUUAGUUUGCAGCCAGACAUUGAGGAGAUGUCUUUAAAGAGCCUCAAACACUAUAAAUGCCAACUCAAACGUUGCAUUCGCUCUUGCAGCCUGACGGCUGUUGAGCCGGGUCAGUAGCUACCUUGGAACAGAAAGCUACUCAUGUUUGGCCCGGCAGGGAUAAAUGCACGUAGUACCUGCUUGACACAUGGCUGUGUAUAGACUACUGUUUGAAGCAUCAGGACGCGGGUUCGACUCCCGCCAUCUCCAC
RNAcentral lists this transfer-messenger RNA (282 nucleotides) under Streptomyces phage Warpy. It matches the Rfam family "transfer-messenger RNA". From Rfam's summary of the family: Bacterial tmRNA, also known as 10Sa RNA or SsrA, is named for its dual tRNA and mRNA-like properties. Its role is to liberate the mRNA from a stalled ribosome. Lineage: Duplodnaviria; Heunggongvirae; Uroviricota; Caudoviricetes; Stanwilliamsviridae. The record is from RNAcentral.